Coturnix japonica (Japanese quail) is the source of this 2944-nucleotide non-coding RNA. NCBI's taxonomy places the organism in Eukaryota, Metazoa, Chordata, Aves, Galliformes, Phasianidae. The record is from RefSeq and is a predicted model, not a curated record.
CUGCCCGGCAGGGCCACCAAACAUACACCUUUACUAGAUCAGGUUGCCCAGGGCCCCGUCCAACCUGGCCUUGAGCACCUCCAAGGACGGGGCAUCCACAACCAACCCUCGCACCUCCCCGCCUCCCCUCACACAUCCCCGCCUCCACGGAGCACUUGGGAGCCGCCUCCUUCCCGAGAGCCCUGCCCGGCGUUACCUUCACAGUAGCGUACGAACCUGCUGGGCUGAGAGAGAAAAGCAUCAUCGCCAGUGAAAUCUGCAGUGUGCGUGAUUUCAGUCCAGCGAGUAGCUUAAUUAUCCAACAGAUCCAAGGGAGCAGUCAUCAGCAAUUAGAGAAAUCGAAUGCUGCCCAUCAUUGUCUUUGCUGUGUUUCAAAUAUCACACUGAAAAUCCAGAACAUGUUCACCAUUUUGCUGCAAAACAAUCUGGACGAUCUCUGCUGGCAGAAGUCAAUGGAACCUGAGGGUGAUGGAAAAAUUAUCAUAGAGGUAGGUGGACUGGAUUUUUGCAUCAACUUCUGUUUUGUAUAAAUAUGCUUCAUUUGCUAAGAAACAUUUUUAAAGCAAACCAUUGAGACAAAAACCAGAGAGUAAAUACUGAAACUCAGUGCAAAAGGAAAGUACAAAUGGCUUAUUAUGCAACGGGGGCUGCAGAAGCCUAAGUGAAACCUGAAAACCAGAGAGACUUGAGCUGAAAAAAAAUUGCCAGAAGCAGUGGCAAAGAGCUUAAAUCAGGUAGGAUUACAAGUACUUUGGAAGGUUUCUGCUGUAGAUUCGAAGUUGUCAUCUCUUUUCAAUCUCAAUAUAUCUUUACCCCACUCACUGACGUGACCUUUUAUUCAACCUAAGGUUGGAUGACUUUGUGCUACCUUCCAGGAAAGGAACUGUUUUUUUGCAGCUCCUUCUUACUCAUUUUGAGAAAAGGAUUAAAUCUUUCCUCUGACCAAGCAUACAGGCAUGCUAAAGUGAAGCCACUUCAUGCUCCUGGCCAAACAAAGAACAAUAAUACCCACAAUAAGCAAAAGCAGAUGGCUUCAGUGGCAGGAAAUGAAUGAGCCAGACUGCAGGUAAAAUGGCUUUCUGAACACAUCUCAGAGGUUUGUAAUGACAGGUUCUUUGUUAUCUGGGGCCUCCCCACAGGAGGCCAGAUGUCUUCUGUUGUGAAGGGAGAUAGAUAGAGAUGCUCUUCCUUUUCCUCCCCCUUUAAGUUAUGGCUGUUUAAGUUACUGCUAAUGGAAGUAGAAGCCUGUUUUUCCCUCUUGCUCUCUGAUGUUUUUGGAAAGAGAAGAGAUAGUUAGUGAAGGGGUAUUCUGAUAUGAAAGGAAAGGCCCAGAACUGGCCUUUACCUCCCAGUGACCCUCAUUUUAAAGAACAGGGAGGUCAGUGCUGCUAAUUGCACUUGAAAGGAUUAACCACUUGAUUGCUUUCAUUUGGUGGAAAAAAACCACUAUUCAUUAAUCUAAAAGUUGAAAAAAUGCAUCAGAGGUAUCACGAUGUUUUCAGCGUGAGGUUGAUGACCUGGAUGGUUUGGCUUAUACCAAUUUUGAAAUUAAAUAGAGGAUUAAAAUCUUUUUGUAGAGGGGAGAGCAGGAGGUGGGGAAGUACAUCUGGUGCUCAGAACAGAUUUGCAGCAAGAGUGAUAAUAAACUCCUUUUUCUGUCCUUAUAAAAAGUUUUUGCAGGAAUAUCAACAUGUUAAUUAUGGAUAUUAGAUGUUCUAUAUGUAAGUUCUAUCACUUGGUAUAAGAAGAAGCUCAGUGUAAUGCAAGAGUCACAGCAGAUGAAAACGAACCUGAACCAAUUCCUGGAUUUAAAAUCUUGUUUUCACUUGGGAAUUAAAAUUACUUUUGAAACAGAUCCUUAAUUCCCACUGUUCAAAUAAAGUGAGGUACAGAAAACUUAAAUUUGGAAGCCAUUUUUAACCCUAUGAAACUAUGUUCUGAAAGUAACAAAGAGCAGCUUAUAUAUGCUUCAAUCUGACCUCCAUUUCUUAAAUAAAAAAACAUGUUUUCAGGGAAAUGUGUCUUGGAAUUACCUUCCCCUCCCCCCAAGAUUUUUCUCCCUGGUUCUUGUAAAACACCAGGUUAGUGGGUGCAUUUUAUUUUUGUUUGAUGAAAGUUUCCAUCUCGAAUUUGUGUGAUUUAAAAUCCCUUCUAAGAUUUAAAAAAACAUUACAGCAAUCUUCAAAAAAUAAAAACAGAUGAAAGUGUCAAUAAGCCAUCAAAAUUCAAACCAAAGGAGAUAGCAUUAAUCAUUGUAAAAAAACCCAAUAACAUCUCAGUAGCAGUAAAAAUGAAUAAGAAACGUGUUGCUUCAAUAGCAUUGAGACAUAACUGAUUUUUCUAACUGCUUGGUACACAAGAACGCACCAUGUUAUUUACAGCUUUGCCAUAUAUGAACGUAUGUAUCUAUGUACUUGUACAUACACACGCACAUUUAAAAAUGCAUUUUAUUUUUCUGACUUCAUACCCAUGCUUCCUUCAGCACUGUCAUAAUUCACACUCCUCAUAUGGAGUCAUAUAACUUAACUGGCAUUUCUUCUUGCAAAUGGAGAUAUGCUUUGGUUGUCCAUUGAGAUGGGGUUUUAUGUGCAUUCACUUAUGCAGAUGAGAUUACAAAUCUGAAGGUAAGUGCAACCUACAGGGAGUGUAUCUGUAGCUUGUUUAAGACAAUAUUUAGUUGGAUUUCAUAAGUAUCUUGAUCCAUAAAUAUAUAUACAUAUAUACAGCAAAUUAUUUGAGUCUGCAUGGAUUCCUGUGUAAUAGUAAAAAAUUAUGUUCUUGAAGUUUUUUCAAUGUAACAUUUCUAUGCUAAUUAGGAUACGAGGGCACUCUUCUGGAGAGUAUGGUAGAUGAUAAUUCAGCCAGAUUUCUACAGGAAAAUAUACAACAGAAACUUUGGAACUUCUGUUUAAAAAAUUAUCUAUUACAGCUCUUCAAUCUGUGU